AACCCAAAAGAAGGCCAAUCUGAUCAAAGGGCAAUGGACAGCUGAAGAAGACAGAAUUUUAGUGCACUUGGUGGGGGAGUAUGGGUUGAAAAACUGGUCUCAAAUUGCAAAAAAAUUGGAAGGAAGAAUAGGAAAACAGUGCAGGGAAAGAUGGCACAACCAUUUGAGGCCGGACAUCACGAAAGCUGAAUGGACUGAGGAGGAGGACAAGAUUUUAAUUAAGGCCCAUACAGAAUUAGGAAAUAAAUGGGCAGAAAUGGCAAAGAUGAUGAAUGGGAGGAGUGCAAAUUC
Telopea speciosissima is the source of this 291-nucleotide long non-coding RNA. RefSeq lists it as uncharacterized. The transcript is spliced from 3 exons. NCBI's taxonomy places the organism in Eukaryota, Viridiplantae, Streptophyta, Magnoliopsida, Proteales, Proteaceae. The record is from RefSeq and is a predicted model, not a curated record.